RNAcentral lists this long non-coding RNA (1148 nucleotides) under Scleropages formosus (Asian bonytongue). RNAcentral describes it as "lncRNA (ENSSFOG00015029793.1)". The record is from RNAcentral. Lineage: Eukaryota; Metazoa; Chordata; Actinopteri; Osteoglossiformes; Osteoglossidae.
UGGUGCUGUCAGGAGUUUAGGAUAGAAGCGGCUCUCAAAGAGGUGGGUUCGAGACCCUUCUUCGGUGUGAGGGUAUUCAGCAGCUGUGAGGGACACCGAGCUCAUUCCAUCACUGUGACACUGGACCCCUGUGAGUGGGACCGCCCAACGGCACAGGAUGGAGGAGCAUAGCACUUUUUUGUUGGCCUCACUGUAUGAUGUGCCAGACAUUCUUGGUCCCUCACGGCCCUUGAUGGCCCAUGGUGACUUUUGAGGACCUUUGGUGACUGCUACCACUUGUAUCACUCACUCGUGCAGUGAAACAAUGUCCAGAUGGGGCUGGGUUGAGACACUGAGCAGGUAAGUCCAGACUCAGCUCUCCUAACCGUGCUCCACACGUCUGGUCUCAGUGCGUCUUUCUCCCUCAGGGUCUCAAGUGUCACCGUCUCCUUGGCUGUGUGUGUGUGUGUGUGUGUGUGUGUGUGUGUGUGUGUGUGUGUGUGUGUGUGUCUUUCCCUCCCCAGGGGUUCGAAAGCUCAUGAGGAGAGAGAGCGGCGCAAUAAAAGGGAUGCAGAGAGGGCUUGGGACAGACGCACGGACGAAGGAAGCAGCAGCAGCACCAACGAAGGACAGCAACACGCAGCCAUGCCUGAGGCCAAGAAGGCAGUGUCCAAGAAAGACAAGAGUGCAGCGGCCCCUGCUGGUGAGUAGAGGACAUGACAGCCUGUGGUACACACACACACACACACACACACACACACGCACACACACACACGCACACACGCACACACACGCACGCGCACGCACACACACACACACACACGCGCACUGCAGUCAGAUGCCUCAAAGAAGAGCAGUUACUUAAGAUCAUUUUAUUGUCACUUCUCAUCAUUUUAAUGCUUUUCUUUGUUCUCUUGGCAGUAAAAAAACCUGAAGGUGAGUAAAGGCUGCUAGCAAUGCAGUGUGUGUUUAUACCUGUGUCUGUGUUUGAUUGCAGCUCUCUAGUGUAUGCAUAUAUGUUUGUCUAGAAAUAUAUACCAGCUCCUAUUACUUAACAAGUAUGACCUGUUGCUAAAAAGCUGCUUAUGAAGAGAAUUUUCAUGAAACUUACUAUUAAUUACCAUUCAUUUAAAUAGAGAAAAUAAAAAAAAUCAUAUGGUCCUGAUCCA